RNAcentral lists this ribosomal RNA (1360 nucleotides) under Pseudomonas fluorescens NZ007. RNAcentral describes it as "bacterial LSU rRNA". It matches the Rfam family "Bacterial large subunit ribosomal RNA", at positions 1586 to 2925 of the family's 2925-position model. RNAcentral also lists the same sequence under 2 other names. Lineage: Bacteria; Pseudomonadati; Pseudomonadota; Gammaproteobacteria; Pseudomonadales; Pseudomonadaceae. The record is from RNAcentral.
CGAAGUGGUUGAUGCCAUGCUUCCAAGAAAAGCUUCUAAGCUUCAGGUAACCAGGAACCGUACCCCAAACCGACACAGGUGGUUGGGUAGAGAAUACCAAGGCGCUUGAGAGAACUCGGGUGAAGGAACUAGGCAAAAUGGCACCGUAACUUCGGGAGAAGGUGCGCCGGUGAGGGUGAAGGACUUGCUCCGUAAGCUCAUGCCGGUCGAAGAUACCAGGCCGCUGCGACUGUUUAUUAAAAACACAGCACUCUGCAAACACGAAAGUGGACGUAUAGGGUGUGACGCCUGCCCGGUGCCGGAAGGUUAAUUGAUGGGGUUAGCUAACGCGAAGCUCUUGAUCGAAGCCCCGGUAAACGGCGGCCGUAACUAUAACGGUCCUAAGGUAGCGAAAUUCCUUGUCGGGUAAGUUCCGACCUGCACGAAUGGCGUAACGAUGGCGGCGCUGUCUCCACCCGAGACUCAGUGAAAUUGAAAUCGCUGUGAAGAUGCAGUGUAUCCGCGGCUAGACGGAAAGACCCCGUGAACCUUUACUAUAGCUUUGCACUGGACUUUGAAUUUGCUUGUGUAGGAUAGGUGGGAGGCUUUGAAGCGUGGACGCCAGUCUGCGUGGAGCCAACCUUGAAAUACCACCCUGGCAACUUUGAGGUUCUAACUCAGGUCCGUUAUCCGGAUCGAGGACAGUGUAUGGUGGGUAGUUUGACUGGGGCGGUCUCCUCCUAAAGAGUAACGGAGGAGUACGAAGGUGCGCUCAGACCGGUCGGAAAUCGGUCGUAGAGUAUAAAGGCAAAAGCGCGCUUGACUGCGAGACAGACACGUCGAGCAGGUACGAAAGUAGGUCUUAGUGAUCCGGUGGUUCUGUAUGGAAGGGCCAUCGCUCAACGGAUAAAAGGUACUCCGGGGAUAACAGGCUGAUACCGCCCAAGAGUUCAUAUCGACGGCGGUGUUUGGCACCUCGAUGUCGGCUCAUCACAUCCUGGGGCUGAAGCCGGUCCCAAGGGUAUGGCUGUUCGCCAUUUAAAGUGGUACGCGAGCUGGGUUUAGAACGUCGUGAGACAGUUCGGUCCCUAUCUGCCGUGGACGUUUGAGAUUUGAGAGGGGCUGCUCCUAGUACGAGAGGACCGGAGUGGACGAACCUCUGGUGUUCCGGUUGUCACGCCAGUGGCAUUGCCGGGUAGCUAUGUUCGGAAUAGAUAACCGCUGAAAGCAUCUAAGCGGGAAACUAGCCUCAAGAUGAGAUCUCACUGGAACCUUGAGUUCCCUGAAGGGCCGUCGAAGACUACGACGUUGAUAGGUUGGGUGUGUAAGCGCUGUGAGGCGUUGAGCUAACCAAUACUAAUUGCCCGUGAGGCUUGACCAU